AGAGGAUAAGUGCUGAAAGCAUCUAAGCACGAAACUUGCCCCGAGAUGAGUUCUCCCUGAGACUUAGAGUCUCCUGAAGGAACGUUGAAGACGACGACGUUGAUAGGCCGGGUGUGUAAGCGCAGCGAUGCGUUGAGCUAACCGGUACUAAUGAACCGUGAGGCUUAACCUUAC
RNAcentral lists this ribosomal RNA (174 nucleotides) under Salmonella enterica subsp. enterica serovar Agona str. ATCC 51957. Its description in RNAcentral is "partial 23S ribosomal RNA". It matches the Rfam family "Bacterial large subunit ribosomal RNA", at positions 2759 to 2925 of the family's 2925-position model. Lineage: Bacteria; Pseudomonadati; Pseudomonadota; Gammaproteobacteria; Enterobacterales; Enterobacteriaceae. The record is from RNAcentral.